This 331-nucleotide unclassified non-coding RNA is filed under the name uncultured fungus. Its description in RNAcentral is "partial contains 5.8S ribosomal RNA, internal transcribed spacer 2, and large subunit ribosomal RNA". Lineage: Eukaryota; Fungi. The record is from RNAcentral.
AACGCAUAUUGCGCUCGAGCCUUCGGGCAAGAGCAUGUCUGCCUCAGCGUCGGUUUACACCCUCACACCCCUAUCAUUUGGGUAGCGUCAAGCCUUUUUUUGGCUUGCGGGUGUGGAUUUGGCUUCCCCAGCAAUUGUUGCAAAACAAAUGCCUGGGUUAGCUGAAGUAUAGAGGCUUGAGCAAGGACCCGUAAUCGGGCAUCAACUGGAUAGGUAGUGCCGACCAACCGGUCGUCUACACGAAGUUGUUGCUUGUGGACCUUGCUGGGAGCCAGCAGGAAACUUUCAAACAUUCGACCUGAGCUCAGGCAAGACUACCCGCUGAACUUAA